AACGAACGCUGGCGGCAUGCCUAACACAUGCAAGUCGAACGAGAUCCUUCGGGGUCUAGUGGCGCACGGGUGCGUAACGCGUGGGAAUCUGCCCUUAGGUUCGGAAUAACAGUUAGAAAUGACUGAUAAUACCGGAUGAUGACGUUAAGUCCAAAGAUUUAUCGCCUGAGGAUGAGCCCGCGUAGGAUUAGCUAGUUGGUGUGGUAAAGGCGCACCAAGGCGACGAUCCUUAGCUGGUCUGAGAGGAUGAUCAGCCACACUGGGACUGAGACACGGCCCAGACUCCGACGGGAGGCAGCAGUGGGGAAUAUUGGACAAUGGGCGCAAGCCUGAUCCAGCAAUGCCGCGUGAGUGAUGAAGGCCUUAGGGUUGUAAAGCUCUUUUACCCGAGAUGAUAAUGACAGUAUCGGGAGAAUAAGCCCCGGCUAACUCCGUG
RNAcentral lists this ribosomal RNA (436 nucleotides) under uncultured bacterium. RNAcentral's name for it is "partial 16S ribosomal RNA". It matches the Rfam family "Bacterial small subunit ribosomal RNA", at positions 29 to 507 of the family's 1533-position model. The record is from RNAcentral.